CCUACGGGGGGCAGCAGUGAGGAAUAUUGGUCAAUGGACGCAAGUCUGAACCAGCCAUGCCGCGUGCAGGAAGACGGCUCUAUGAGUUGUAAACUGCUUUUGUACGAGGGUAAACGCAGAUACGUGUAUCUGUCUGAAAGUAUCGUACGAAUAAGGAUCGGCUAACUCCGUGCCAGCAGCCGCGGUAAUACGGAGGAUUCAAGCGUUAUCCGGAUUUAUUGGGUUUAAAGGGUGCGUAGGCGGUUGGAUAAGUUAGAGGUGAAAUCCCGGGGCUCAACUCCGGAAUUGCCUCUGAUACUGUUCGGCUAGAGAUCAGUUGCGGUAGGCGGAAUGUAUGGUGUAGCGGUGAAAUGCUUAGAGAUCAUACAGAACACCGAUUGCGAAGGCAGCUUACCAAGCUGAAUCUGACGUUGAGGCACGAAAGCGUGGGUAGCAAACAG
This 440-nucleotide ribosomal RNA is filed under the name uncultured bacterium. RNAcentral describes it as "bacterial SSU rRNA". It matches the Rfam family "Bacterial small subunit ribosomal RNA", at positions 338 to 775 of the family's 1533-position model. The record is from RNAcentral.